GAUGAACGCUGGCGGCGUGCCUAAUACAUGCAAGUCGAGCGAACGGACGAGAAGCUUGCUUUUCUGAUGUUAGCGGCGGACGGGUGAGUAACACGUGGAUAACCUACCUAUAAGACUGGGAUAACUUCGGGAAACCGGAGCUAAUACCGGAUAAUAUUUUGAACCGCAUGGUUCAAAAGUGAAAGACGGUCUUGCUGUCACUUAUAGAUGGAUCCGCGCUGCAUUAGCUAGUUGGUAAGGUAACGGCUUACCAAGGCAACGAUGCAUAGCCGACCUGAGAGGGUGAUCGGCCACACUGGAACUGAGACACGGUCCAGACUCCUACGGGAGGCAGCAGUAGGGAAUCUUCCGCAAUGGGCGAAAGCCUGACGGAGCAACGCCGCGUGAGUGAUGAAGGUCUUCGGAUCGUAAAACUCUGUUAUUAGGGAAGAACAUAUGUGUAAGUAACUGUGCACAUCUUGACGGUACCUAAUCAGAAAGCCACGGCUAACUACGUGCCAGCAGCCGCGGUAAUACGUAGGUGGCAAGCGUUAUCCGGAAUUAUUGGGCGUAAAGCGCGCGUAGGCGGUUUUUUAAGUCUGAUGUGAAAGCCCACGGCUCAACCGUGGAGGGUCAUUGGAAACUGGAAAACUUGAGUGCAGAAGAGGAAAGUGGAAUUCCAUGUGUAGCGGUGAAAUGCGCAGAGAUGUGGAGGAACACCAGUGGCGAAGGCGACUUUCUGGUCUGUAACUGACGCUGAUGUGCGAAAGCGUGGGGAUCAAACAGGAUUAGAUACCCUGGUAGUCCACGCCGUAAACGAUGAGUGCUAAGUGUUAGGGGGUUUCCGCCCCUUAGUGCUGCAGCUAACGCAUUAAGCACUCCGCCUGGGGAGUACGACCGCAAGGUUGAAACUCAAAGGAAUUGACGGGGGCCCGCACAAGCGGUGGAGCAUGUGGUUUAAUUCGAAGCAACGCGAAGAACCUUACCAAAUCUUGACAUCCUUUGACAACUCUAGAGAUAGAGCCUUCCCCUUCGGGGGACAAAGUGACAGGUGGUGCAUGGUUAUCGUCAGCUCGUGUCGUGAGAUGUUGGGUUAAGUCCCGCAACGAGCGCAACCCUUAAGCUUAGUUGCCAUCAUUAAGUUGGGCACUCUAAGUUGACUGCCGGUGACAAACCGGAGGAAGGUGGGGAUGACGUCAAAUCAUCAUGCCCCUUAUGAUUUGGGCUACACACGUGCUACAAUGGACAAUACAAAGGGCAGCGAAACCGCGAGGUCAAGCAAAUCCCAUAAAGUUGUUCUCAGUUCGGAUUGUAGUCUGCAACUCGACUACAUGAAGCUGGAAUCGCUAGUAAUCGUAGAUCAGCAUGCUACGGUGAAUACGUUCCCGGGUCU
Molecule: ribosomal RNA, 1372 nt
Filed under: uncultured bacterium
Lineage: Bacteria
Description: bacterial SSU rRNA
Rfam family: Bacterial small subunit ribosomal RNA
Source: RNAcentral